UACAGAGGUCUCAAGCGUUGUUCGGAUUCAUUGGGCGUAAAGGGUGCGUAGGCGGGUCUUUGAGUCAGGGGUGAAAUCCUGGAGCUCAACUCCAGAACUGCCUUUGAUACUGAAGAUCUUGAGUUCGGGAGAGGUGAGUGGAACUGCGAGUGUAGAGGUGAAAUUCGUAGAUAUUCGCAAGAACACCAGUGGCGAAGGCGGCUCACUGGCCCGAUACUGACGCUGAGGCACGAAAGCGUGGGGAGCAAACAGG
RNAcentral lists this ribosomal RNA (253 nucleotides) under uncultured bacterium. RNAcentral's name for it is "partial 16S ribosomal RNA". It matches the Rfam family "Bacterial small subunit ribosomal RNA", at positions 524 to 776 of the family's 1533-position model. The record is from RNAcentral.